Molecule: non-coding RNA, 682 nt
Filed under: Pongo abelii (Sumatran orangutan)
Lineage: Eukaryota; Metazoa; Chordata; Mammalia; Primates; Hominidae
Source: RNAcentral
GGGAGGAGUGCGAGGGUCUCUGAGACAGGUCGGGAGCCAGCCCUACCUCCAUUUCCAAAGCGGGGGUCAAGGCACAGGAACAGCCAAACGCCCGAACCAGCGGGGUUACCUUUGCCACUUCAUCCAAUCCGAGCACCGGCUGGAAACUGGGAAGUUUGUCAGACAAAGCUCUUCAGGUUACUGGCAAUUUAUGUGCUGGGAGGUGGAUUUGUGGGCGGAGCUCCUGCUGACCUGGUGUUGUCCUACUAUGGCUACAGACUUCUGACUAUGCUUAUCAGAAAAACUUUCAUUUGGUUCAAGGAUUUUUGAGUAUAAUUUUAAAAAAAGUCACAGAAGAAUGUGGAGACACUUAGCAAACCUGACUCUCAUAAGGAGGCUGAUGGACUACAUCCAUGGGCUACUUUGUCCUCUGGCUUCCAAUUAGAUUCAGACAACAGGAAGCCUCAACAGCUAAUGGGAGACCAAGAGGAAAAAUUGGGGUACCUAUUCCCCUAGAUUACUCCCUGCUGAUUGCUGCAGAGGGGCUUCAUCCUUGCCCUGGUUUCUGGAAAACACUCUUUCAUUGCCCAUGCAGGCCUAGGAGUGAUGAUGCCUCACUGGAUGGCAAAGUCUCUUGUUGGCUUCCCUAAAUCUUACUCACAACUUGUAGAUACUCCCUCUAUUAAAUCCUUUUCAGUUACCC